UACGGAAGGCAGCAGUGGGGAAUAUUGCACAAUGGGCGCAAGCCUGAUGCAGCCAUGCCGCGUGUAUGAAGAAGGCCUUCGGGUUGUAAAGUACUUUCAGUCGUGAGGAAGGUGUUAAGGUUAAUAGCCUUAGCAAUUGACGUUAGCGACAGAAGAAGCACCGGCUAACUCCGUGCCAGCAGCCGCGGUAAUACGGAGGGUGCGAGCGUUAAUCGGAAUUACUGGGCGUAAAGGGCACGCAGGCGGUUAAUUAAGUUGGAUGUGAAAUCCCCGGGCUUAACCUGGGAAUGGCAUUCAAGACUGGUUAGCUAGAGUCUUGUAGAGGGGGUAGAAUUCCAUGUGUAGCGGUGAAAUGCGUAGAGAUGUGGAGGAAUACCGGUGGCGAAGGCGGCCCCUGGGACAAAGACUGACGCUCAUGUGCGAAAGCGUGGGGAGCAAACAGGAUUAGAUACC
Molecule: ribosomal RNA, 453 nt
Filed under: uncultured bacterium
Lineage: Bacteria
Description: bacterial SSU rRNA
Rfam family: Bacterial small subunit ribosomal RNA
Source: RNAcentral